UACAGAGGUCUCAAGCGUUGUUCGGAUUCAUUGGGCGUAAAGGGUGCGUAGGCGGCGCGGUAAGUCGGGUGUGAAAGCUCGGAGCUCAACUCCGAAAAGUCAUUGAAUACUCUGAGGCUAGAGGGUCGGAGGGGAGACUGGAAUUCUCGGUGUAGCAGUGAAAUGCGUAGAUAUCGAGAGGAACACCAGUGGCGAAGGCGAGUCUCUGGACGACUCCUGACACUGAGGCACGAAAGCUAGGGGAGCAAACAGG
RNAcentral lists this ribosomal RNA (253 nucleotides) under uncultured bacterium. RNAcentral's name for it is "partial 16S ribosomal RNA". It matches the Rfam family "Bacterial small subunit ribosomal RNA", at positions 524 to 776 of the family's 1533-position model. The record is from RNAcentral.